UGCAGUCACAAUAGCAAGGAGGAUACACCUGUUCCCAUUCCGAACACAGAAGUUAAGCUCCUUAGCGCCGAUGGUACUUGGAUCGAAGGGUCCCGGGAGAGUAGGACGUGGCUGCGU
Molecule: ribosomal RNA, 117 nt
Organism: Peptoclostridium acidaminophilum DSM 3953
Lineage: Bacteria; Bacillati; Bacillota; Clostridia; Peptostreptococcales; Peptoclostridiaceae
Source: Rfam